CUCCUUUUUCUCUUUUGGUUAAAAGAGAGCAUUGUCGUUCUCAGCCAUGUGCUCUGUAUAAUUAAGAGCUGACACUGAAGUGGAGUAACAACAGCUUCUAAUUUUUUUACCCCUGAUCACAGGUGCAAACAUCUCAAGCCAGUUCAGAUGUUGCUGUUUCCUCAAGUUGCAGGUCUAUGGAAAUGCAGGAUCUAACCAGCCCGCAUAGCCGUCUGAGUGGUAGUAGUGAAUCCCCCAGUGGCCCCAAACUCGAUAACUCUCAUAUAAAUAGUAAUUCCAUGACUCCCAAUGGCACCGAAGUUAAAACAGAGCCAAUGAGCAGCAGUGAAACAGCUUCAACAACAGCAGACGGGUCUUUAGACAAUUUCUCAGGUUCAGCAAUUGGGAGCAGUAGUUUCAGCCCACGACCAACUCACCAGUUCUCUCCACCACAGAUUUACCCUUCCAAGUAAGAUGUAUUUUCUCUUAAUCAAUAAAUAACUUCUCUGAGUAGACUUUUAUUUAUUUAAAGUCAUGUCUGUGCCCGCAUAUUCCAUCUCAAUUUAAAUGAAAGUGCAUUUCAUAGACAUGUAAAUAUAUUGACACAAAUUUAUUUUGAGCAUCAUGUAGUGGAGACACUGAAGUAUUUCAGUGCUUUGUCAAUUCUGUGUGAAAGUUUUACUUUAAGAUACAAUAUUUAGCUGGAAUUUGUGAUGUGGUUGUUAAUCGGUUUGCAUGUUUCCAUCUAAUGCAUGGGCUUUCUAUUUUCUGUCAUUUCUGACAAAUAGCAGACCAUACCCACAUAUUCUCCCUACCCCUUCCUCACAAACUAUGGCUGCAUAUGGGCAAACACAGUUUACCACAGGAAUGCAACAAGCUACAGCCUAUGCCACGUACCCACAGCCAGGACAGCCGUACGGCAUUUCCUCAUAUGGUGCAUUGUGGGCAGGCAUCAAGACUGAAGGUGGAUUGUCACAGUCUCAGUCACCUGGACAGACAGGAUUUCUCAGCUAUGGCACAAGCUUCAGUACCCCUCAACCUGGACAGGCACCAUACAGCUACCAGAUGCAAGGUAGCAGUUUUACAACAUCAUCAGGAUUAUAUACAGGAAAUAAUUCACUCACAAAUUCCUCUGGUUUUAAUAGUUCACAGCAGGACUAUCCAUCUUAUCCCGGUUUUGGCCAGGGUCAGUAUGCACAGUAUUAUAACAGCUCACCGUAUCCAGCACAUUAUAUGACCAGCAGCAACACCAGCCCAACGACACCAUCCACCAAUGCCACUUACCAGCUUCAAGAACCACCAUCUGGCAUCACCAGCCAAGCAGUUACAGAUCCCACAGCAGAGUACAGCACAAUCCACAGCCCAUCAACACCCAUUAAAGAUUCAGAUUCUGAUCGAUUGCGUCGAGGUUCAGAUGGGAAAUCACGUGGACGGGGCCGAAGAAACAAUAAUCCUUCACCUCCCCCAGAUUCUGAUCUUGAGAGAGUGUUCAUCUGGGACUUGGAUGAGACAAUCAUUGUUUUCCACUCCUUGCUUACUGGGUCCUACGCCAACAGAUAUGGGAGGGAUCCACCCACUUCAGUUUCCCUUGGACUGCGAAUGGAAGAAAUGAUUUUCAACUUGGCAGACACACAUUUAUUUUUUAAUGACUUAGAAGAAUGUGACCAAGUCCAUAUAGAUGAUGUUUCUUCAGAUGAUAAUGGACAGGACCUAAGCACAUAUAACUUUGGAACAGAUGGCUUUCCUGCUGCAGCAACCAGUGCUAAUUUAUGUUUGGCAACUGGUGUACGGGGCGGUGUGGACUGGAUGAGAAAGUUGGCCUUCCGCUACAGACGGGUAAAAGAGAUCUACAACACCUACAAAAAUAAUGUUGGAGGUCUGCUUGGUCCAGCUAAGAGGGAAGCCUGGCUGCAGUUGAGGGCCGAAAUUGAAGCCCUGACCGACUCCUGGUUGACACUGGCCCUGAAAGCACUCUCACUCAUUCACUCCCGGACAAACUGUGUGAAUAUUUUAGUAACAACUACUCAGCUCAUCCCAGCAUUGGCGAAAGUCCUGCUAUAUGGAUUAGGAAUUGUAUUUCCAAUAGAAAAUAUUUACAGUGCAACUAAAAUAGGAAAAGAAAGCUGUUUUGAGAGAAUAAUUCAAAGGUUUGGAAGAAAAGUGGUGUAUGUUGUUAUAGGAGAUGGUGUAGAAGAAGAACAAGGAGCAAAAAAGCACGCGAUGCCCUUCUGGAGGAUCUCCAGCCACUCGGACCUCAUGGCCCUGCACCACGCCUUGGAACUGGAGUACCUGUAACAGCGCUCAGCACUUUGACAGCGCACAGCUGCUCUGUGACCAGGGACAGAUCCAGCAGGCCCCAGUCUCGCAUCAGCGCCAGCCUCCAGAACUUAGCAA
Molecule: small RNA, 2373 nt
Filed under: Pongo abelii (Sumatran orangutan)
Lineage: Eukaryota; Metazoa; Chordata; Mammalia; Primates; Hominidae
Description: retained intron
Source: RNAcentral